This 422-nucleotide ribosomal RNA is filed under the name uncultured bacterium. RNAcentral's name for it is "partial 16S ribosomal RNA". It matches the Rfam family "Bacterial small subunit ribosomal RNA", at positions 360 to 774 of the family's 1533-position model. The record is from RNAcentral.
AAUUUUGGACAAUGGGGGAAACCCUGAUCCAGCCAUCCCGCGUGUGCGAUGAAGGCCNNNGGGUUNUCAAGCACUUUUGGCAGNAACNAAACGUUCCGGGUUAAUACCCCGGGAAACUGACGGUACCUGCAGAAUAAGCACCGGCUAACUACGUGCCAGCAGCCGCGGUAAUACGUAGGGUGCAAGCGUUAAUCGGAAUUACUGGGCGUAAAGCGUGCGCAGGCGGUUCGGAAAGAAAGAUGUGAAAUCCCAGAGCUUAACUUUGGAACUGCAUUUUUAACUACCGAGCUAGAGUGCGUCAGAGGGAGGUGGAAUUCCGCGUGUAGCAGUGAAAUGCGUAGACAUGCGGAGGAACACCGAUGGCGAAGGCAGCCUCCUGGGAUAACACUGACGCUCAUGCACGAAAGCGUGGGGAGCAAACA